Papaver somniferum (opium poppy) is the source of this 2109-nucleotide long non-coding RNA. RefSeq lists it as uncharacterized. The record is from RefSeq and is a predicted model, not a curated record. The transcript has 3 exons. NCBI's taxonomy places the organism in Eukaryota, Viridiplantae, Streptophyta, Magnoliopsida, Ranunculales, Papaveraceae.
AUUGGUGAAAAUUGUUGUUCAUCUUAUUUUCCAUUGAUUAUUCAAUGUGGUUCGAGUUUGGAAUAUUUAGAUGAUUACUGAAGGCCUAUUUUCUCAGUUUUUUGUACAAAAAAAUUGAUAGAUUAAGUUUUGGUUUAAUAAGUGUGCAGGACGGUUGACAAUGCUUGUUACUGUUUUUAUCUUGCGGAUGCAUAUAACUAGAAUCAACUCUUUAUGCUGGGAAUUGAUACUCAAAUCCCACAAGGAUUCAAAAUAGGAGAGACCAAAUGAGGUGGCGUUGAAACUGCAGGAGCACUUCUAAGACUUUCUUUUAAAUGUGAUCGUAUAGUGGUAUAAGAACACAGGUGUAAUUUUUAGUUGUAUUGCCUUUAUAUCGUCAGGUAUGCUUCGGGGUAUCCAUUCAGGUAUUAGUUGAUGACAGAAUUAUUUCGUAAUGCUAAUUUGCUGAGCGGUCACCAUUCCGUUUUGUAGCACGUGAUUGCAUGUGUCGGAUGCUUAUAUCACAUUGAAGGAUUUUUUUUGGUGUGUGUUACAUGGUAAACCACGUGGUCGAAACUUGAUUUGAGGGAGCUAUUAGAGUUCAGAUAUUGUAUACUUACAUGGUGUGAGUUAUGGUAACUGUUGUCACAGUUAAUUUAUAUACAACCUUGGUUUUACUUGUGGAUUGGAAGCCUCAUUUGGUGUUUCUUGGUUAUUCAUCCUUAGGUGGUAUCUUUUUGACUUUUGCUGCAAACUAUACAUAAACAUUAGCAUUUCUUUUUAUCCCCUCUCCCUAAACUGCAAAAUGUAGAAUGUAAGGUAGUAAAGAACUAAAGAUAUGCAUUUAUUUUAGGUGAAGUGCGAUAAGUGCAAAAAGCCAGAGUCUGAUAUAGUUAGUCAUUAGGGUCGUAAGAGGGCUUAAAGUUUAAUUCAUAUGUCUGUGUGCUGUUUUUUCAGGCUGAAACUAAACUGAACUAUUUGUAUCGUCAUGAGUUUUUACAGCAGGUGAGUCAAGAAACAGGUAAUGCAUAUGACAGUUACUGGAGACAGGGUUCCGCUUCUUCCCAAAAUCAUUGUGUCAGCCGUCUCUAAAUUUCAAAAAACCUUGGACUCAAAUCCAAUUCCUUGUGAAAAUUCCCAUGGCAUUCAGCAGACUGCUUACUCUCAAGAACCUACUUCACAUUUUCCUGCUACACAUCAUGGUGCUCAGAAAUAUGCCUCAGUGUUGCAAUCUGGUUCCUUAAUGGAUACACGGGAGAAAACAAACCAUUGAUCGCGGCAAAUCCCAGAGUUCCUCAGAUUCUUUAUUAUUUCAGAUGAUUACAAGGAUGUCAUCUGAUGGUACACUUUUCACUAGAUUGGGAUACAGAACCACUUUCCUAUUACCAGAGAGAGCAUGGAUGCAAUGAGUACAAAGUUGCAGAGCGCCUCAACCGCCGUUUCUUCUUUACCUAAGUACAAAAGAAGUAUAAGUAUACGCAGCAUAAGUAGGUGGGAGCCAAUAUCUGAGGAUAAGUUGGUUGAGAAAUUGUCAUCUGUUACUCAUAUUUCAGAGAAAUCUGCUACCUGGAAUCAUGCUAAAAAAAGGACAAAAUGGUUUCUAAUGGAAAAUGGAUGAGAAAUGACAGUAUAUGGACUAUGCGAAGUUUGUUCCAUAACAACAGCAAGUUCCUGGUAAAAAUAAUAAGAGGUCAGGGACGAAGUGGUUCUAAGGCUGCUCAUAAGGAUAUCACACAGGCGCAGGCCGCGCAGCAGCAUUAGCGAAUUCUCCAGACGAGAAGCAAAAGCUUGAGGACCAUUACUAAACCCACUAACUAAUAGAGGACCACAAGCAGAGAUUAAGCUUUUCUGAUCAGAACCCGCUUCUGCUACCGUGUACCUGUAUGCUAGGAAGGCCAGCAUUCUGGCGCUUAGCAGAAGUUAUGAGGAUAGUGAAAGCAGAGCAGUGGAAGAUAUAUUGAUCCGGAUUCUCUUACUGGUAAAGAAACCUGCCAGAAAAUUGAGAAUAUUUACCUGCACCUCAGGGACGGGCCUAGCAAGGGGCUAAGUGAGGCUAUAGCCCGUCCCUUAAUUUGGUUAGAAAAUUUUGAAGUAUAUAUAUUCAUCUGAUUUUUAAAGUGAAAACUACAG